UUAUGAUCUAAAAAUUUGAGUGCAUGCUUGUUAAAGUCCAAAUGUAGAUAUUAUUUGCAGCAGCCAAUUUGGAUUAAUUAAAUCCAUAUCACCGUAGAAAACAACGUGAGAUAUAAGUUCUCUACAUGAUCUGAUUGAAUAAUCGCUUAUAUUGGGUCCCUUUUGUCUCUAAAUUGAGAUGUAACUAUCAAUAGAUUAGGCAAUGGAGAUACUCUCAAAGGGAUACCUUCUUAGAAGUUUAAUGCUUUCUCCUAAAACAUAUCAAAAAUGUAGUUAAAUGGGAUUACAGAUAAAAUAUAGGAGUGCUUAUUUUGCUGAUUUAUUAAAUUAAUAUCCAUCAAACUGUUAUUUAUUUCCGUAUGUCUCCUAAGUUCAAACUUCUCACUAUUGUCAUGUGAAGUAUGUCUUUGAAAUAAACGCAAGAAUUUUAAUAAUCAGUUAUAUAUAAUUGGUUUAUUCCAACUGGUUAUAUAUUGAAUUCUUUUAUACAAAAUUU
This 496-nucleotide long non-coding RNA is filed under the name Lupinus angustifolius (narrow-leaved blue lupine). RNAcentral describes it as "long non-coding RNA (LANG_LNC001207)". The record is from RNAcentral. Lineage: Eukaryota; Viridiplantae; Streptophyta; Magnoliopsida; Fabales; Fabaceae.